GACGAACGCUGGCGGCGUGCUUAACACAUGCAAGUCGAACGGAAAGGCCCUGCUUGCAGGGUGCUCGAGUGGCGAACGGGUGAGUAACACGUGGGUGAUCUGCCCCUUACUUUGGGAUAAGCCUGGGAAACUGGGUCUAAUACUGGAUAGGACCAUGCUGCAGGUGGUGUGGUGGAAAGAUUAGUUUCGGUAAGGGAUGAGCUCGCGGCCUAUCAGCUUGUUGGUGGGGUAAUGGCCUACCAAGGCGUCGACGGGUAGCCGGCCUGAGAGGGUGGACGGCCACAUUGGGACUGAGAUACGGCCCAGACUCCUACGGGAGGCAGCAGUGGGGAAUAUUGCACAAUGGGCGCAAGCCUGAUGCAGCGACGCCGCGUGGGGGAUGACGGCCUUCGGGUUGUAAACUCCUUUCAGCCAUGACGAAGCCCUUGUGGUGACGGUAGUGGUAGAAGAAGAACCGGCUAACUACGUG
This 469-nucleotide ribosomal RNA is filed under the name uncultured bacterium. Its description in RNAcentral is "partial 16S ribosomal RNA". It matches the Rfam family "Bacterial small subunit ribosomal RNA", at positions 28 to 507 of the family's 1533-position model. The record is from RNAcentral.